AAAGUUUGAGAGAGAAAACUAAAUAGCCGGAGUUUUCGUCGGAGAGUCACCGACGGAAUCAAUUCCCUACUAAGACCUACACUCUGGAGUCCUUCUUGGAGUGAAAUAAGAACUCGUGUUGUUGAGAUUUCCUCCUCUUUCGUCAAGAACAGAAAGAAAACCCGCAAGGGAAGAUCCGCCACUGAUUUUGGUGAGAAAAUCGAACGAAACAUCGAGAUCUGAGAAUCUUUCCAAGAACUGUAAGAAUGUUACCAGACCUCUUUCCGACGCUCAUAACUCAUCGUAUGACUAAGUAAAAAUCAAGAAAAAAAUAUUGACACGUAGGUUGAAGUAUGAUCUAAAACUUUGUUGAAGAAACCAUUACUGUUUGGAUUAAGAAUCGAGAGAUAGAAAAUG
Long non-coding RNA from Cucurbita moschata (crookneck pumpkin), 396 nucleotides. RefSeq lists it as uncharacterized. NCBI's taxonomy places the organism in Eukaryota, Viridiplantae, Streptophyta, Magnoliopsida, Cucurbitales, Cucurbitaceae. The transcript has 2 exons. The record is from RefSeq and is a predicted model, not a curated record.